RNAcentral lists this ribosomal RNA (295 nucleotides) under uncultured bacterium. Its description in RNAcentral is "partial 16S ribosomal RNA". It matches the Rfam family "Bacterial small subunit ribosomal RNA", at positions 791 to 1084 of the family's 1533-position model. The record is from RNAcentral.
UAGUCCUAGCAGUAAACGAUGGCUACUAGGUGUGGGGGUGUUGACCCCUCCUGUGCCGAAGCUAACGCAUUAAGUAGCCCGCCUGGGGAGUACGGUCGCAAGACUAAAACUCAAAGGAAUUGACGGGACCCGCACAAGCAGCGGAGCGUGUGGUUUAAUUCGAUGCAACGCGAAGAACCUUACCUGGGCUUGACAUUCUCUUGCAAGCCUGUGAAAACAGGCCCUCCCUUCGGGGGACAGGAGAACAGAUGUUGCAUGGCUGUCGUCAGCUCGUGUCGUGAGAUGUUGGGUUAAG